CAAGCAGAGUGAAGAACUGCACCUUUACAUUGAUUCAGAUUUUAUUGACAGUUUGACAAAAUGGCAAAUUAAACAGACCAUUACUGUAGCGACAGCGUUUAAACGGUUAAAAUAUCAUGAAAGAAGAAGACAUACAAACAGGAAAGCACAGACUGGUUCUCAGAAGUCACCAAAACAAACAUGGCACUUUGAUUUGGGCCGCCCGGUUCUGAAACUACAACAUGGAGGAGGAAACGACUGGAGAGAAGAAAACCAGAUUCCUCAUCUUUCCCACAACCUUGAACCAAGCAGCGUUAGUGCGAAGUAGAAGGUAUUUAGAGCGUUUUCACCAGAAACUGUAAUAAAGUACAGAAAUAACGGAGCUCAGGAGGUUUCACUGGGACUUUGCUCCAUGUUUCAUAUCGCAGCUUGAAAAUACGACAAUAUUAAAUAUUUCAGCUGGAAGCCAUUAAGCAGUCGCAGUAAAAAGUCACAAAAAACAAAAUACAACCGAGUAUUUUUGGUUUAAUUUACAGUUUUAAUACUUUAGUACAUUUGAAAUGAGACGACUAACUUACAGGUAACUUUUCAGCAACAUGUAGAAGCUUGUUUUAACUAAAGUAAAAACUUUUAACUCUACUGGCAGACUGUUUCAUUUACCAAGGGGCAGGAGGCCGUUACCUAGCAACCCCAGCCCGUUACCUAGCAACCAGUUCAACUGGCAGAUUUUUUCACUUAUAACAAGUAAAACACCAGUGGAACUAGAACUUUCUGAUAAAUAUUCAUGAAUUAUUAACUUAAAACUAGCUCCUAUUUCUUGCUGAAAAGUUUUUAUAAGUUAGUUUUGACUUAUUUCGAGAAUACUAAGAUAUUUCCACCAGAAACAACCAAAAUGCUCUAAGCAUUUGUGUUUUUGCAGUUCAAACAGAGUUGAUGGAGGUUCUGACCCGGUGAAUGAAGGCUUCAUGAUGUCGCUACGGUUCAAACAAAAAUAUAAAAUUAAAGUAAAUUAAGGUUCAGCAAAUACAGUCGAGGUUUAAAUCAUCUCUGAAAAAUUUUCUUAAGAUUUAAGCAGAACCCACAGAAUCAUCUCAGUUCAUUGUUUUUCACUUCAACAAACACAGAAAAGCUCAAAUUGAAAUAAAAAUCCUUUGACUCAAUCUGGAAAUCACAUCUACUUACUGAAUUCAUAGAAGAUUCUAGAUUUUUAGAUUUAAAACUUCUUAUAGUUUCAUUUUACUCUGAGUAGUCAUAAUUAUGUUUACUGACACAAAUAAGGCUGAAAGUGGUCUAAGACUGUCAAUAAUUCAGCUGAAAAUGCUAAACUUAUAUAUAGACACAUUAUUUACAGACUGAUUCAUAAUACUUUAUACUCAAGAUAAAUAAAAUCUAAUUUUUAAAUAUCAAAUUGGUAUGUUUGGAUGAUCAUGGCCAAGAUAGUUUUGAAAAGUAAGACACGAAAGUUCAUAGCCUAACAAGAUGAGUUCUAUAUCCAAGCAGAAAGUUAAGUGGAAGGAAAAAAUACUGCGGUUAAAAAAACAAAACAUUAGAGAGUAAAUGCUUUUCCUUUUCAGUAGACAACUCCUAGGUUUUUGUUUCCCUCUUUUUAAAUUGAAUUACUGAAAUAUGUUUAGUUUUCAGUGAGACUCUAAAUUACGGAGAUGAACCUGGAGGUGAGAAACGGAUCAAACCCAGGUUGCUUCUGAUGAGGAAACCAGAGAUUAAACCCAGGUUGCUUCUGAUGAGGAAACCAGAGAUUAGAGCAGCUUUGGUUGAACCUGAUUUUCACGUUCGUCUGCAUCAACAAGCGAUUAACGGAUCGUUUCUUUUCCCGGAGCAGGUUUGGUAACGGAAACAGUUUUUCUAGUGCAAAGAACGAAAUCAGAGCUCAUCUGACAUCCACCGGUUUGUUUGGAGCAGAUUUACAAAACCAGUAAACAACAAAUAAAUUUCCAGUUUCUAUAAAAUCUCCUUCUGUCUAAGCUUUUAU
Molecule: long non-coding RNA, 1969 nt
Organism: Xiphophorus couchianus (Monterrey platyfish)
Lineage: Eukaryota; Metazoa; Chordata; Actinopteri; Cyprinodontiformes; Poeciliidae
Exons: 2
Source: RefSeq, a predicted model, not a curated record